GGAGGAAGAGGUCUCUGGCACAGGAGAGGCACAGUCAGGCGUGCUCUGGAAGUGACACCUGAGCCAGCAGAAGCAGCAGUGGUAGCAGCUGGUGCACUCGGGGCUCGGGCAGGAGACAGUCUGACGUGGGCUCGACCAACAGGUAAAUGCACCUGUGCUCCAGGAGGGGUGGGAGGGACCAAUGAGGGAGGGAGAAGCCCCGGAGGCUCCCAGCAAUGACAGAGGGCAGAAAACUCCGUCCCUCUACCUGGUGAGAGGGGUAGGCACCACCAGGAGGAGUAACUGCCGCUGGGAACAUGACCUGGAGCAGGAAGGGAGCAGACCAGCCUCCAGAUCUCCUUCCCCAGCUUUCCAUGGGCAGUUGCCAGAACUGGCCUCUGGCUGUAGGGGUCUGCGGGAGUCAGGACCUGGGGACACAGAGCAGGGCAGAGAAGGGUGGCAAGAGGAUGGGAGCAGGGUGGGCUAACAGAAAGGACUUACCGUCCAGACCAGACUGGGAUGGGUGUCACGGUUUGGGAGAGAUAGACAACCAGGGCAGUUACAAAGGAAAAGUUAUGGGCACGGUGGCUGAGGCAGGAGGAUGGCAAGUUCAAAACCAGCCCCAGCAACUGAGUGAGGCCCUGUCUCUCAAUAAAAUAAUAAAAAGUGCUGGGGAUGUGACUCAGUGGUCAAGCACUGCUAGGUCAAUCCCUGGGACCAAAAAAUAAAAGGUGGUCUUGAGAGAAAUGUGGGGACACUUACGGAAACAAGACUGGCAGAAUUUGAUGAGCAGGAUCUGCAGGGCAAAGACCUCAGGCGCCUGCUAAGUGCCAGGUGUGCACAUAGCAGAUCUUCAAAUUUAAUUUAAAAAUAAACUACCACAAAGAUCUACUCUAACAUCUUUUUCAUCUGAGAGGCUUGAAAUGCACCCGUGGAGAUGAACGAUCAGCUAGGCCGGUGGGAAAACUGUCAGAGUCAAAAUGGAGCCUCCUGUGUCCAGCGCUAACCUAAAUAAACAAAGUCAGGCGUCUGUGGAGAGGGGGUCUCAUGCACACCCGCCUUUCAACAAGACUCUGCCAGAACCACCACCUUGCACAAAGGCCACCACACCCUGACACAGAGAAACACUUCUGCCAAGUCCCUCUGCUCAGCAACUGCCCGUCCAACUUUGGAACGACACCACCCUCGGUAUUGAUCCCUGUAGCCAAAGUUGAUUGAUUCAAUUAACGUAUGUAACUUUCCCCAUUGUACUUUUUUUUUUUUUUUUGGUACCAGGGAUUGUACCCAGGGGCACUUAAUCAUUGAGCCACAUCCCCAGCCCUUUUUAUAUUUUAUAGAGAGACAGGGUCUCACUGAGUUGCUUAGGCCUUGCUGAGUUGCUGAAACUGGCUUUGAACUCGCGAUCCUCCUGUCUCAGCCUCCCGAGCCGCUGGGACGACAGGUGUGCGCCACCACACCCGGCUCCUGCUGUACCUUUAAAAUCUCCUGGCUUCCACCUCUGAGUCGGCUCACAGCUUACCAUGCACACAGAUUCCUAUUUCGACGCUCUGCUAUUCCCAAAUGAAUGCAUUAAUGUUUGGAGGAUCGCUUGUUAUUACUUAGAGGGUUGCUUAUUGUUAUAUAGUUUGUCACAGGAUUGUCCUGGAGGGUCCUGGACAGCAGAAUCACCUCCUCAUUGCAGUCACCCCUCACCUGCUAUGGACUGUUGAGUGGGUCUUUCUCACCCUGGAGAGGAGGAAACAGAGGCUCAGGGAAGUCCAGGGAACAUCACAAAGCAAGACUGUCACAGAGCUGAAACUAGGAGACGCCCGUCUUCCACUUUGCCUCUCCCAAGCUGGCUUGAUGGUCCUGCCCAGUCCAGCUGGGGACAUGCUGUCACCCACCUUGCACCCAGGAUGGGCCUUGUUUCCUCCACAUCCACCCUCUCUGUCUCCUGGGCAGCCAGGGUCCCAAGAUGAACACAUCACAUCUUUGCCACGGAAAACACAUGGGGACAAAUCAAGAUGGCACUGGCCGGGCUCCCCACAGUGAACACCCGCCCUGGCUUCCACAGUCUCCACUCUGCACGCUACUGGGCAGUCCAUUGCAGUGACUGGGAAAUAAAUGAUACCACUCUAAGUGGUUCAUUAUCCUGUCACAGUUUCUGGCAAGUCCUCGAGCCUGGCUUGCUUUAUGUCUAGUUACACGUCGCCGUGCGAGUCCCCCA
RNAcentral lists this long non-coding RNA (2185 nucleotides) under Marmota monax (woodchuck). The record is from RNAcentral. Lineage: Eukaryota; Metazoa; Chordata; Mammalia; Rodentia; Sciuridae.